This 1758-nucleotide long non-coding RNA is filed under the name Triticum aestivum (bread wheat). RNAcentral describes it as "long non-coding RNA (TAES_LNC019544)". The record is from RNAcentral. Lineage: Eukaryota; Viridiplantae; Streptophyta; Magnoliopsida; Poales; Poaceae.
AAAAAAUUAGGAAUAGAUGAUACUAUUAAUCAAUAAAUAUCUAUACCUACUAAUAAAGCACAACUAUUCUCUUUGUCUCCCAAAGUUGUGCCAACUAUUUUGGUUACCUCCCAAAAUUUGAAGUUUGUGCCAACGUCUAUACAUUUAAUCUAUUGUAUGUCCGUAUCUAAAGAGCAGAUGGCAAAAUAAUUUAUUUCAUGGAAACUAACUGCAUUGUAGUCUCAGGGCCGGCCCUGUGUUUCGGGGGGCCCUAGGCGAACUCGGUAACAUGGGCCCCUAUGUCCUAAGGCAAUAUACAUGUAUGUGUGUGCUUGAUACAUAAGCAAUAUAUAUAUACAACUUAUUAAGAGUAUGCCUGGCCAUACCUCGGGCCGGGCCUAGCCAAGCCCGACGAAAAAAACCCAGGCCCAAGCCCGGCCCGGCCCGGCCAUCGGGCCUGUUUCCUGGGCCCGAGCCCGGCCCGAACACGUAAAAGCCCGUCGGGCUCCGGGCCGGCCCGGCCCGACCUUCAGAGAAAUGCAAAAAUGACGGCCCAGGCCCGGCCCGGCCUUCGGGCUCAAGAUCUAGGCCCGAGCCCGGCCCGGGGGUAGCGUCGGGCCAGGCCGGGUCGGGCUUUUUCGGGCCGGGUCGGGCUUCCCAUGGCCAGGUAUAAUUAAGAGUGACUUUCAACCACAUAUCUUUAGUUUAAAAUUUGACUAUAAUAAUUCGACUGACUCCAUCGACAACAAUAAUAACCAAAUUCUACCUGAUUCCAUCGAUAACAAUAAUACUAAAAAGAUAGCAAAAUGAAACUAACAUGACAUGAUUACCUCAAAUAAGAACCAAAUUCGAUUGAAUCCAUCGACAACAAUAAUACUUUAGUGCUUCAGAAAAAAUUUCUUUGGACGUUUCUUGAUGCAAAGUCAUUAAGGGCACAAUCAAGAUCAACAUUGUCCAAGAUAUCCUUCUCAAUGCAACACAUAACCACUUUCUGUCAACAAACUCACCAUUACUUAACUUUCUGGAGUUAAAAGCAUAUGAAAAGUGUCUACCAAUGGUGUCCUUCUCGAACUCCUGAUCUGGUUGUCUAAUAGGUUCCUUCUCAAUUAAAAUACCCUUUUGCUAUUGUCAUGAAUUUCCCAUGUUCUUGGAUCAAAAAUAGAUGAAAGGUAAUCUUCCUGUUCAUCAUAAAAAAUAGAUUAGGAAUUUAUACAUAGGAUGAUUGGAACCCUAGACGUACAUGGAUGAAUAGUUGAAUAAUACUUGAAUACGUACAUAUUAAAUAAAGAAAAAAAUAUACUAAUGAAAUUGUCAAAUUGGGGUUGGGGGCAUGGAUGAGGUCAUCAGGAACAUGGAUGGAUCAUGGAUACAUACUGAUUCUAUGGUGUGUUCACGGCGUUGCAGACUUGCAGUCGACCAACUUGACGCCUUCCCGGAUGCCGGAUGGCCGUGUGGCCGCGGCACGCGCAGCGGCGGCAGAUGAGAGGAGGAAGACGAUUAGACAGAUGAACCGACGAGAGGAACUGACGAAGGAAAACGAGCAGGCAGCCGUGCCUCGCAUCUGGCACCGAUCGCGCGCGUGACGCUUGGCUAAUCGAUCGCUAGUUAUCCCAUCUGGCCAUGUCGUUUGGUUUCUUCUGUAAAAAAAAUUUACCUAUUUUUGCUGGCCUAUAGUAUACAUACACACUACAUCAUGGCCCCCCCUUCGCCUGGGCCCUGGGCCGUCGCCCCAUCGGCCAUACCCCAAGGCGGGCCCUGUGUAGUCUAAGUCAAGAAAAC